AACGAACGCUGGCGGCAUGCCUAACACAUGCAAGUCGAACGAGACCUUCGGGUCUAGUGGCGCACGGGUGCGUAACGCGUGGGAACCUGCCCUUAGGUUCGGAAUAACUCCCCGAAAGGGGUGCUAAUACCGGAUAAUGUCUUCGGACCAAAGAUUUAUCGCCUUUGGAUGGGCCCGCGUUGGAUUAGCUAGUUGGUAGGGUAAAAGCCUACCAAGGCGACGAUCCAUAGCUGGUCUGAGAGGAUGAUCAACCACACUGGGACUGAGACACGGCCCAGACUCCUACGGGAGGCAGCAGUGGGGAAUAUUGGACAAUGGGCGAAAGCCUGAUCCAGCAAUGCCGCGUGAGUGAUGAAGGCCUUAGGGUUGUAAAGCUCUUUUACCCGGGAUGAUAAUGACAGUACCGGGAGAAUAAGCACCGGCUAACUCCGUG
This 433-nucleotide ribosomal RNA is filed under the name uncultured bacterium. Its description in RNAcentral is "partial 16S ribosomal RNA". It matches the Rfam family "Bacterial small subunit ribosomal RNA", at positions 29 to 507 of the family's 1533-position model. The record is from RNAcentral.